RNAcentral lists this unclassified non-coding RNA (2490 nucleotides) under Daphnia magna. RNAcentral's name for it is "protein brambleberry, transcript variant X2". The record is from RNAcentral. Lineage: Eukaryota; Metazoa; Arthropoda; Branchiopoda; Diplostraca; Daphniidae.
UAAAGCUCAUUUGAAAAACCCCUUGGAGAAUUCUUGGACGUGUUUAGACCUGCUUAAAGAAAGUAAACCAGUGUGCAAAUAUUUUAACUUGAUUUUUUAGAAUUCUUAUCCCACAAAUCUUAGAAAAUAGUCAGAGCAAAGCAGAUGUUUUUUCCUCAGAAUUCACUGUAGAUUUUUACUUCCAUCAGAAAUGAAAUUUAUUCUGUAUUUUAUAGCUAUAAUUCUAUUGGGAACCAGUAGUCAAUCUAGUUUAGUUGGAUGGAUUUUAGGCAGGGAUAGCUCCCCUUUUAAUAUUUUGAAUAGCGAAAAACAAUUUGACAAGCUUAUGACUGCAACAACAACAAAUGAAGAACAUAAGAUUGAAACAUAUGACCCAAAAGAGAAUGCCAUAGAAGCAAGAUCUGAUAUUCCAUUUGAGCUUAGUGUCGCGGAUGAGAAAUUCAUUGCAGAUGCACAAAAAUACACUGAUCUAAGCCUAAGUGAGCUGGAUGUCUGCCAACAUAAAUUGAUCCUUCAAUUGAAGCAAGACUGUAAUGAUCUCUCAGAGGAAGAUCUGUCAAAGUUGGGAGUUAACCUUCUAAACUGCCAGUCAAGGCUCGAAGGAAGAAAGGUCUUCCCAUGCACAUCUUUAAUGUCUUUGAAAGAAUGUACUAGUGACAUGGAUUCAGAUACCUGGAAUGCCUACCAUAUUCUGUCAAACAGAGCAAGAUCAGUUUGCUAUGGAGCUCGACAGCAACAGUUUAGAGCACUGACUCAGAUGACUGUUAACAAACUCAUGGCCAGUUCAAGCCGGCAGUUGGGGUUUAUAAGAGAACUCAAGGCUGAGCAAGAGGAACUAGGAUCAUUGGCUGCAGAUACUUUGACUUCUUUAACCAAAGGUCAAGAGCAGCUGUUGGAGCAGCAAGAGUAUCUAAAGGCCACCCAGCAGAUAGCUUCACAGCAAUUAAGCAGCACUAUUAGAGAAAUGUCAAGAGAGCGCGCUGCUGCCUAUGCAGGUCAACGACAACUUUCGGCCUUAAGUGAUUCGUUAAAAGAAACUUUGAAUCAAGCAGCUCAGUUGGCCAUGGAGCAAGAAAACGAUCGAAAGAUAGCACAGGAGCACCUCCUGAAUUCUUUGAUGAAUCUCGAAGGACACGUAGGCGAAGUUUGGAACCAAUUAGAGGAAAGUGUCAAUAAAUUACUAAAUCAACAAGAUCACGCAGCUCAAAUGCAAACAGAAACUAUAGAAACGCUACAGCGACUAAAUCAUACUUUCCAAUUUUUGUUGAGCGUCUCUGAGAACAGUCGUGAACAACUGAAUUGGAUUCAAAGCUUGGUUGUUAAUACAGAAAAAAAGGUCGGAAAGUUGUCAACCUGGGUUCUCCACGUCUGCUAUUUCCUGUUGGGGAUGCUGUUGUUAGCAUUCGUACAAGCCCCAUCGUACAUGCGGUGGAUAUUUUUGUUCUUGGUCCCUAUUAAUUUAUCAAUGGACCUUCAGCAAGGUGUCGCAAUGGAUGCUCCGGCUCUCGUAGGCCUCCUUUUUGUCGUUUCUACUGGUUAUCGAGUGUUCUUGUAUUUGAAAUCCCGCUGCAGUCCUAUUACGCGCGCUAUUGAUAAGCCUCAGGAGAUCGAGUACCGUUCUUCGACUCCCGCUGCGAAGGUUUUUGUGACGAGCGUUUCGGACAAUACGGUGGAUGACCUUCUCGAGGGUUGCACUCUGCUGAAUGACUCAUUCGAUGGAGAUCGUAGCAGCACGCCGCUGCCUUCGCCUUCGUUUGAAAUGUUCAUGUCACAACAGAAACACAAAAGCGUUCGGUCACUUCUACAAGACAGCAAACUUGGUGAUAUAAGCUUGGGAAGCGCUGUUCACCGUCGGAGUCCUAGGAGAGCAAACACUUCGAAUUCGUUCAGAGAGCUCUCCCCUACCCGAUCAGUGGCUUCGAACAUGUCGAUCAAUCAGUCGAGAAGUGGCACACCGCGUCGACCGGCCACUCCUCGCCGCACUUGCUCUGGAACAUGCGUAGACGGUUCUAGUUGCCGCAACGCGUGCAUGAAGGAUUCUGUAUUUUGCUGGCAGCACAAAUGAAAUUUUACUUCUUCAAUAACUUGGAUUCAAUAUGUUUGCUUAUCAAAGCAACGACGAAGGAUGGCAUCUGCACCUCCAAUUCAAGAGUUCAUCGAGUACUUUUUUGGCCUGUACAUCAAUCAGACGUUUUCUUAGUGGACGGAUUUUUUUAACGCAAUUAAACUCGACGUUCGCGUGAUAAAAUGCGAUUCGCACUGGAUCGUGCCGUCCCAUAUUCCUUCACAUUUCCCCCACAAUCGGAUGCAACGGCGUACCGCGUUGCUUUUUAUAAACAAAUUUAUUCGCAAAGUAUCGGAUGUUAAAACGAAAAAAUUGUUCGGAAUUGUUUAUUUUUGGAAUGGGGGAUAAGCGAUCGAAAGGUGCGACCGAUGUAACACGUUAAAAAUGGCGAUAACAGAAUUUUACACGUUAAACAGCCACGUAGA